This is a long non-coding RNA of Nannospalax galili (Upper Galilee mountains blind mole rat), 2206 nucleotides long. RefSeq lists it as uncharacterized. The transcript has 3 exons. NCBI's taxonomy places the organism in Eukaryota, Metazoa, Chordata, Mammalia, Rodentia, Spalacidae. The record is from RefSeq and is a predicted model, not a curated record.
AUGUGGAAAGUAGAACUGUGGUUUCUAAAGUUCAUACCGAUACAGCAGCCUGUAUCGACUGAAGAGAAUUGGCCCAAGUUUAAGUUAAGAGGCAUGUGGCAGCAAAAGCUUGAGGUGAAACAAGAUUCACAGAAUCAAAAUCUUGGAGGUGACAUUAGCAGAGCAAUAAUUUCUGUGUGUGUGUGUGUGCCAUGUCAGCAAUUUGAUUCAACAAGGUGAAAACUUUGUGUGGGGCCUGGAGAAUAUAAAAACUUUGGAAUCGGUCAUUUCAGGGAAUGAAGGGAAUAUUGGUUCUCAUCAUACCUACCCACCAGAGUGUGAGUUCACGGAUUACAAGAUCUCACCAUGUAGCCCGGUGUGGACUGGAGCUUUCUGUACAGACCAGGCUGACCUGGAAAUCGGAGAGUUCCUGCCUCUGCCUCCUGAGUGCUGGAAUGAAAGCAUUUAGAGAAGUCGUUCAUGUCCGGAAAAGGAAAAGAAAGCCUAAUAAUUAAUUCCACUUAGCCUUCCCUAUCGAUGAGUCACAACACAAGCUCUGUUUGAUGAGCUCCUUUCCUGGAACCUGUGCUGCGAAAGGGGUUCUUGUAGAAGGAGUGCCCUGUAGGUACGAACUUGUGGAACAUGAUCUUACUACUCUUCAAGAUCUAAAGUCCAGAUAAAUCCUGUGUCUAAUCACUUGUCUUCAGGCCUGAAUAAAGUUAAAUAAAUUUACGACUAGCCUCCCUCGGCAUAUCUGGAAAACACAACAAAGAAAAGCCAGGAGAUGAAUUUGGCUUUAGUUUGCUGUCUUCUCUUGCCACGAUGUCUUGUCCCAUUUUUCUGCCCCACGAAGCCGUUCUUCUCCUUCCAGGCCUGCGUUAGAGUCUGUCUUCGGAAUGCCCUCACCUACCUUUCUUUUAUUUGUUUGCGGGUUUCAGUGUGUGUUGUGUAUGUCCUUUGCUUUGUUCUGUCUAUUGGGCCAAGGCCUCCUUCUGUAGCCCAGGCCAGCCGUGAGCUUGUGGCUGCCGUCCUGCCUCCCCUCUGAGGUGCUCACAUGACAGAGGACAGAAUCAUGCACAGUUUGGUUUUUUAAUUUUUGUAUUUUUUAAUCAUGUAUACGUGUUUGUCUCCUUGCUUUUGUGACCGUGGAUGUACUGCAUACAGAGCCCGGAAGAGGGCUGCUGGUGCCCUGGACUUGGACUUACAGGCAGCUUGAGAGUCCUCAGAUCUCAGCACCCUUCCUCUCUGAGCCAUCCUGCAGCCCCUGCUUGUUUGUUUUCAGGAUUUUUGCUUCUCACUGCGUAGCUCCUAGGGUGGCCUUGUUUGUGAUUCUGCUUCCUUAGCCUAUUGAAAGUGAAGGUUGCUAAUACGUACAACAGGGGGGUUGUAGUUAGGCACCUGCACGUGGCAUGUUUCAUGUAUCUGAGCCUUGUUUCCUGAAGAAAAUAAUGCUAAUGCUAAUAUUUCAGAAGUUUAGAGGUAGAUUAACGUGUAUCACUGGACCAAGCAGGCCACAAAGUUUGUGAAACUACCUUUUUUUUUUUCAUAUUAGUUUUCUGUUUUUCUUGCCCUUGUUUUUAUUUCAAGUGUCACGCUGUGCUGUGUUUAUCAGUGGAAAAAUCUUUUUCAUAUUUGCCUCCAAAUCCUAGGGAAAUACUGCUUGUGUUAGCUUGGGGUUACUGUGACAAGUACCUGCAGUAGUCGGCUUGUGGAAAGUUCUUUCUGGCUUUACUGUCCAGAUUUCCAUCCAUGGUCGGUUGGUCCUUUGGUCCCUGACAUGGCCGUGGGGCACAGUGGCCAUCUGGCAUAGGAUUGCUGUGGUUUGAGUGUCCCUGAAGACGAUGUGUUCAAGGCCUCCUUCCUGUUUUUUUUGUUUGUUUUUCCUGUCGUUGUUGUUGAGGGAGGUCUUUUGACAGAAACUCACCAGGGAACAUAUUUCUUAACUGACUCAGUAUUCCAUCACCCAGCUUGGGUCUGCUGUUACUAUGUGCUCGUGGGGCGUGUCUGAGAGGUGGUGAGCAAGAGCAGAUGGAAUCUUCCAACCCAUGUUGGCAGAUAAACUGUUACAAAUUUCACAGUAGCUCCAGCAAAGCAAUAGUCUAGGGGAACCUGUAUUUUGUUAUUAUUGUCUAUUUUGGAGUAAUGGGUUUUGAACCCAUGACUUGCUAGACAAGUGCUGCUUGGAGAGCCUUGUACAGAGUCCUUUGCACACACGGUUCAGUUCAAC